Molecule: non-coding RNA, 377 nt
Organism: Pelobates cultripes (western spadefoot toad)
Lineage: Eukaryota; Metazoa; Chordata; Amphibia; Anura; Pelobatidae
Source: the annotation of a GenBank genome assembly
UUUUUUAAAUUUUAUUUACCCCCCCCUACACACACACACAAUAACAUUUAUACAGCACUCUCACACCCAUCACACACAGCACUGUCACACCCAUCACACACAGCACUCUCACACCCUGCACUCUCACACCCAUCACACACAGCACUCUCACACCCAUCACACACAGCACUCUCUCACACAGCACUCUCACACCCAUCACACUCACAGCACUCUCACACACACACAGCACUCUCUCACACGGCACUCUCACACCCAGCACUCUCUCACACAGCACUCUCACACCAUCACACUCACAGCACUCUCACAGAGCACUCUCACACACACACAGCACUCUCUCACAGCACUCUCACACCCAUCACACUCACAGCACUCUCACA